CCAUGGCUUUCAUUUCUCUCACAGGAAAUGCAAAAUCAUUAUGUAAGCAUAGAAAAGAGCCAACAAUGUUGCCAAAAUAGCAAUAAUAUAUAACAAGUGGUAAUAACAAUUGUUACUUUGACAGAAGAUCUUAAGAGUUUUAGUAUACUAUCUGCUAUUUUGAUUUCUUCUUUUCUUUUAGGGCAUGAAAAGCUUGUUGCCACACUUGCAACGCCAAGCUUCGGGGUAGUACUCAAGUGGCAUACUAAACCCUGGUUGAAUUGGAACGUGAACUGGUUUAC
Molecule: long non-coding RNA, 281 nt
Filed under: Gossypium barbadense (sea-island cotton)
Lineage: Eukaryota; Viridiplantae; Streptophyta; Magnoliopsida; Malvales; Malvaceae
Description: long non-coding RNA (GBAR_LNC020021)
Source: RNAcentral